RNAcentral lists this ribosomal RNA (431 nucleotides) under uncultured bacterium. RNAcentral describes it as "partial 16S ribosomal RNA". It matches the Rfam family "Bacterial small subunit ribosomal RNA", at positions 338 to 795 of the family's 1533-position model. The record is from RNAcentral.
CCUACGGGUGGCUGCAGUGGGGAAUAUUGGACAAUGGACGAAAGUCUGAUCCAGCAACGCCGUGUGAGCGAUGAAGGCCUUCGGGUCGUAAAGCUCUGUCAGAUGGAACGCGGUACUAUCAAAGGAAGCACCGGCUAACUCUGUGCCAGCAGCCGCGGUAAUACAGAGGGUGCUAGCGUUGUUCGGAAUUACUGGGCGUAAAGCGAACGUAGGUGGUCUUGUGUGUCUGGUGUGAAAGCCCACGGCUCAACCGUGGAAGUGCGCUAGAAACUGCAAGACUGGAGUGUAGGAGAGGAUGGUAGAAUUCUCAGUGUAGAGGUGAAAUUCGUAGAUACUGGGAGGAACACCGGUGGCGAAGGCGACCAUCUGGCUUAACUGACACUGAUGUUCGAAAGCGUGGGUAGCAAACAGGAUUAGAUACCCUUGUAGUC